AGUGAACGCUGGCGGUAGGCCUAACACAUGCAAGUCGAACGGCAGCACAGUAAGAGCUUGCUCUUACGGGUGGCGAGUGGCGGACGGGUGAGGAGUACAUCGGAAUCUACUUUUUCGUGGGGGAUAACGUAGGGAAACUUACGCUAAUACCGCAUACGACCUACGGGUGAAAGCAGGGGAUCUUCGGACCUUGCGCGAUUGAAUGAGCCGAUGUCGGAUUAGCUAGUUGGCGGGGUAAAGGCCCACCAAGGCGACGAUCCGUAGCUGGUCUGAGAGGAUGAUCAGCCACACUGGAACUGAGACACGGUCCAGACUCCUACGGGAGGCAGCAGUGGGGAAUAUUGGACAAUGGGCGCAAGCCUGAUCCAGCCAUACCGCGUGGGUGAAGAAGGCCUUCGGAUUGUAAAGCCCUUUUGUUGGGAAAGAAAAGCAGCAGGUUAAUACCCCGCUGUUCUGACGGUACCCAAAGAAUAAGCACCGGCUAACUUCGUG
RNAcentral lists this ribosomal RNA (492 nucleotides) under uncultured bacterium. Its description in RNAcentral is "partial 16S ribosomal RNA". It matches the Rfam family "Bacterial small subunit ribosomal RNA", at positions 29 to 507 of the family's 1533-position model. The record is from RNAcentral.